UGGGGAAUAUUGGACAAUGGGCGCAAGCCUGAUCCAGCCAUGCCGCGUGUGUGAAGAAGGCCUUUUGGUUGUAAAGCACUUUAAGCGAGGAGGAGGCUACUUGGAUUAAUACUCUAGGAUAGUGGACGUUACUCGCAGAAUAAGCACCGGCUAACUCUGUGCCAGCAGCCGCGGUAAUACAGAGGGUGCGAGCGUUAAUCGGAUUUACUGGGCGUAAAGCGUGCGUAGGCGGCUUUUUAAGUCGGAUGUGAAAUCCCUGAGCUUAACUUAGGAAUUGCAUUCGAUACUGGGAAGCUAGAGUAUGGGAGAGGAUGGUAGAAUUCCAGGUGUAGCGGUGAAAUGCGUAGAGAUCUGGAGGAAUACCGAUGGCGAAGGCAACCAUCUGGCCUAAUACUGACGCUGAGGUACGAAAGCAUGGGGAGCAAACAGG
Molecule: ribosomal RNA, 430 nt
Filed under: bacterium
Lineage: Bacteria
Description: partial 16S ribosomal RNA
Rfam family: Bacterial small subunit ribosomal RNA
Source: RNAcentral